Molecule: transfer RNA, 73 nt
Filed under: Acidobacteriota bacterium
Lineage: Bacteria; Pseudomonadati; Acidobacteriota
Also listed under: 3 other names
Description: Acidobacteria bacterium tRNA-Ala
Rfam family: tRNA
About the family: Transfer RNA (tRNA) molecules are approximately 80 nucleotides in length. Their secondary structure includes four short double-helical elements and three loops (D, anti-codon, and T loops).
Source: RNAcentral
GGGGACGUAGCUCAGCUGGGAGAGCGCCUGGUUUGCAUCCAGGAGGUCGUCGGUUCGAGUCCGAUCGUCUCCA